CGUGACCGCAAAACGCUUGGGGCAGACUUUCACAUAGACCUAAUGUCAUAAAUAUGCACGAAGAUACGUUGGACGUUAAUGCGCCAUACCAUACUACAAAGCAAAUAUUGAUGUUCAAACAUGGAAGCGACGACAGCAUCGCAAUACAGAAUGAGUAAGCUUCACGUGUGUCACCGACGUCGAGCCGAGUAAGUACGCGAUCUUAAAAACCGCGUACUUUAAGUUCGCACGUCUAUCA
RNAcentral lists this unclassified non-coding RNA (238 nucleotides) under Melitaea cinxia (Glanville fritillary). RNAcentral's name for it is "misc RNA ENSMCXG00005006345.1". Lineage: Eukaryota; Metazoa; Arthropoda; Insecta; Lepidoptera; Nymphalidae. The record is from RNAcentral.